This 313-nucleotide unclassified non-coding RNA is filed under the name plant metagenome. Its description in RNAcentral is "partial contains 5.8S ribosomal RNA, internal transcribed spacer 2, and large subunit ribosomal RNA". The stretch from base 1 to 105 matches the Rfam family "5.8S ribosomal RNA", at positions 50 to 154 of the family's 154-position model. The record is from RNAcentral.
GAAAUGCGAUACGUAGUGUGAAUUGCAGAAUUCAGUGAAUCAUCGAAUCUUUGAACGCACAUUGCGCCCUUUGGUAUUCCAAAGGGCAUGCCUGUUCGAGCGUCAUUUGUACCCUCAAGCUUUGCUUGGUGUUGGGCGUUUUUUGUCUUUGGCUCGCCCAAAGACUCGCCUUAAAACGAUUGGCAGUCGGCCUACUGGUUUCGCAGCGCAGCACAUUUUUGCGCUUGCAAUCAGCAAAAGAGGACGGCAAUCCAUCAAGACUCCUUCUCACGUUUGACCUCGGAUCAGGUAGGGAUACCCGCUGAACUUAAGC